Molecule: ribosomal RNA, 468 nt
Filed under: uncultured bacterium
Lineage: Bacteria
Description: partial 16S ribosomal RNA
Rfam family: Bacterial small subunit ribosomal RNA
Source: RNAcentral
GACGAACGCUGGCGGCGUGCUUAACACAUGCAAGUCGAACGGAAAGGCCCUGCUUUUGUGGGGUGCUCGAGUGGCGAACGGGGGAGUAACACGUGAGUAACCUGCCCUUGACUUUGGGAUAACUUCAGGAAACUGGGGCUAAUACCGGAUAGGAGCUCCUGCUGCAUGGUGGGGGUUGGAAAGUUUCGGCGGUUGGGGAUGGACUCGCGGCCUAUCAGCUUGUUGGUGGGGUAGUGGCUUACCAAGGCUUUGACGGGUAGCCGGCCUGAGAGGGUGACCGGCCACAUUGGGACUGAGAUACGGCCCAGACUCCUCCGGGACGCAGCAGUGGGGAAUAUUGCACAAUGGGCGGAAGCCUGGUGCGGCAACGCCGCGUGCGGGAUGACGGCCUUCGGGUUGUAAACCGCUUUCGCCUGUGACGAAGCGUGAGUGACGGUAAUGGGUAAAGAAGCACCGGCUAACUACGUG